GUACUGUUAACGAAUACCAUUUCUUUUCUGUGACUGUUAUAUGCAUAGCUAGUUUUUAAUGACUGUUUAUAAAACAUUAGUGAUAGUCGUACCAGAAAUCUUUACUUGAAGAUAGAGGCGAAAAUAUUUACCAAAAUGUAAUUAUUGCCUAUCGUCGAAAGGCGACGAAACCGUUAACAUUUGGUACGAUAUACUCUAACUGAGAAACUAUUAUACGCAUGUAAGGACGUUUCACGUUUUGAUUUUUUACACGAGUAGAAAUGUGCGUAUUUGGUUGUGCACUUUCAGGCGUUGCUGUAUCUUGCAAAUAUACAUGAGAAAAAAUAUAGUGCGAAAUAAGUAGCUCUGAAUGUAUGGAUGACCAUACGUAGUGUGAUAGUUAUGAACAGUCGUGGACUGGUAAUGUUUGAAUGAAUAAUGCCUUCAUCAUGCCACUUCUUAAAAAUGUUUGUGUCCAAGCACUCUUUGACUUCAGUUAUAAUACAGACAAAGGAUUCUCUGUUCAUUUGAAGAAAGGAAAAGAGUAUCAACUUCUUGAGAAAACAAACAAAGAUUGGUGGUUGAUCAGCGAUGGAACAAGUCAGUCAUUUCAUGCUCCUUCAAAUUAUUUGAAAAUAACACAUGUAAAUAAAAAAGUGUCUGCUGAUAAUUGCAGCAAUAUUGAUACUGAUAAUAACUCUAACUUUCUAAGUAAAUAUGGUAGCACAAAUAAUCAGGUAUCAGAUGUCACAUCUGAAACUAUAGAUACAAAAGUAAGAUUGAAAACUCUAGAAGAUUCUAAAAAUGGGUGUGAAUCAAAGCUAGAGCCUGCAUUGAUAGAAAAAGUUUUCACUCAGAGUGAAGUCCCAUUUUUGAAACUUAUAAACAGUACUGGUGUUAAGACUGACUGUCCUUUAAGUGCAAAUGAAAACAAAAUGGUUGGUAUAUCUGUUGAUAGUGACAAAUUUGCAAAAUACUUAUCUGUUGAAGAUGGAGAAAAAAAUAUAGCUGAUCAAAUGUCUAGUUUUUCUCAGGGAAAAAGUGGAUCAUUAAGUAGUCAGGACAGUCUGCUUGAGGAUUCUGAGGAUCCUAUUUAUGCUAAUUUGGCCACUUUAGCUAAGUCAACACCACCUUUUCCAGGGCCAAAGGAUCACCUUCGUCGAAUUCUUUUGAACCACUGGGCUGAGUACGAAGAUGAGACAGGCAGGUUAUUUUAUUACAAUAGAAUCACCAGAGCUAAGUCAUGGGAUAUUCCUGGACAGUUGUCCUUCUUAGUAGUUCAGUCUCCUACUAGUCCAAAGCCAUUCCAGAAAUGUGAAAGUCAGCAUGGUGAUAAUGGCACUGAUAAAAUUAGCUCUUCGGAAACUUCCAUAAAUAAUUUUCAAACAUCUAAUUCUUUAUUGGAACAAGAAAGUUCAAGCUCUCUUAAGCUGCCUCCUGGAUGGUUACAGAGGAUAGAUGGUGAAACUGGAGACAUUUGUUAUGUUAAUGAUCUUUCUAGUAGCAAGUGGUUUAGCUCUCUGGAUGACAAUGGUAGACCAUAUUACUAUGAAGACAAUGGAAUGGUUUCUUUUUGGCAGUUACCUGAUUUCACUAAAGCUGAGGGCAAGGAAAUCAAGAAUAUUGGAAAUAAGCCAUAUCUUUCUCCUUGUGACCUGGAUGAAACUGAUAGUUUUUUUAAACCACUGGAAACAAUGUCUCUGCCAUCUCCUGUGCUUGACAACACUUCUCCACAUGAAAUGAAGUUUCCAGCUGAAAGUUUUUUUAAUGAAACAUUGGAUGUGAAGAAAGGAGGAAUACUCAUGAUGACAAAAGUGGAAGAAGGGGGAAAACGACUAAAGAAAAAUUGGUCUUCAUAUUAUGUGGCGUUAACAGAUGUAGCAUUGCUCUGUUACAAAGAUGUCCAGUCAACAAUUGUGGCUCUGAAGGAUUGCAAGGCAGAAAGUUGUGUGAAUUUAGCAGGUGCUGCCAUUUAUUGGUGUCCAGAAAAAUCAUCAAAGAAAAAUGUAUUCCUGAUUACUACUAUCUUGGGACAGAAAAUACUAUUCCAGGAUGACAGUUUCCAAAUUACUGCUGAAUGGUAUCAAGCAAUUCAAGCUGUAAUAUCUAAACUACCAUCAUCUGAAAGCUUGAAGUGUGAUGAAAUUGUACCAGAUGAAGUAAAAGAAAAUCUCAAAAGUGAACCCAAGAAAAAAAACAGAUUUCUUCCUUCUAGAUCACCAAAAUUGGAUCAGAUAAAAGAAACAAAUGAAAGUGUUUUUAAAAGUUCUGGAGAGAAAAAAAAGAUCCAUAACAAACUUCGAAACUUUUUCAACAAACGUCCAUCCAUGGAAAGUUUAAAGAAAAAAGGAAUUUUGAAAGAUGAACCAGUAUUUGGCUACAGUCUACAAAGUUUGUGUGAAAGAGAGAAAACCAACAUUCCCAAUUUUGUUCAGAGAUGCAUUGAACAAAUUGAACAGUUUGAUCUCACCACUGAUGGAAUAUAUAGAAUAAGUGGUAAUUUGGCACAAAUUCAGAAGCUCAGGCUACAUGUUGAUCAAGAUGAUUAUUCCAUCCUACAGACAACGGAAGAUAUUCAUAUACUGACUGGGGCUCUAAAACUUUUUUUCAGAGAAAUGAAAGAGCCUUUAAUACCAGUAUCUACUUUUAGUCGAUUAUUAGAAGGUCUUGGAAAGCAAACUAAGGAAAAGAAGUUAGCAACUGUCACUGAAGUAGUUCAAUCUUUGCCAAAACCUAACUAUGAAACUUUGAAAUUUUUGCUUGAUCAUCUACUCAGAGUCGAAAAGCACCAACAGAAAAAUUUAAUGGACAUCCAGAAUCUAGCAAUUGUGUUUGGACCAAGUCUAAUGAAUUCUGAGUCAAACAACAUGGCAUUAGAUGUAAUGCAGCAGAACAGAGUACUUGAGUAUUUACUUCUGAAGUUUGAUCACAUUUUUUCCACUCCACUAAUUUACUAAUAAACUUUAACCUGACAUGCUGAAGAUCUGUUUUUGUAAGGAUUUAGCAAGUGCUUCCAUUUGUUUGGUUUAAUAGAUAUAUAGUAACUGUGUAAUCAUUUACAAACUGUUUGUAAUGAGUGAUAUACCUUGUAUUUCAUUGAUUGAUCUAAAUUGUAUUACACCAUGAAAUUCAUUCUUGUGUAUAAAAUAUGUAAAAGGUUGAAAAUUCUUGUCCAUGUUUUGCGAUGCACAGAGGUAACGCAUUACAGUGUAUUAACGUUGUUAGUUGAUAACCACAUUUUCAUGAUGAUAGUUUUUAUAACAAAAUAUUUUCUUUGGCAGCAAACAUUUUAGGUAUGUAUAGCAAAAAUUAUAUUUAAAAAAAUUGUUUAAACCUGGUUGCAGAUUUUGUUGAUUUUUUGUGAGUUUAUAUUAAGGUUGCACAACACUAAGAAAAUAGUUUGUUUUUGAAUGUCUCAAGCCAUCAACUGUUUAAAUUUUAUUUGGUUAUUUUCUUUCUUAAUAGUUUUAGUUAAAGAACUUUUCACUGACAAACAGUUUUAAGAAGUAAAAAAAUCAUAUAUUUUUGCAGCUUUCUUUUACUGUUUCAAAACCUCAUAUCAUUAUUAUAUUAUCAAUACAUCCAUAUAUCUUUCAGAGGUUCUUGUACAUUCAGUGUUUUGGUUUAAAAAAACGUUGGCGUUAAAAGGGAAAGUUUUUUUGUUCUGCAUUGUUUUGAAACAACUCAGAGAAAAAAUUGUAAAUGCAUCUUAUAGAGGAUAUGCAAAAUGUUACAUCUCAUUUCAUAAUGACAAAGUUCUUGAACAAGGUUUUUAUUAAUAAUUUGAUUUUUCUUUUGGUCUUUAAAUUAACUUCUUUUGUUUUUUUGCUUGAUGUUUUUUGAUUUGUUGUUUACUUGUUUUAUAAACUACAGUUGAAAGACAAACUUUUAUCCCUCAUAUGGGCUUAGCAGUUAUAAAUCAUGGAAGUUUUCAUGUAACUCACAUUUAUUGAUGUGCUAAUGGUAAACUAGGGUUAAAUUUGUAACCAAUAAAGUGUGCUUGCAUGUGUGUGUAAAUAUAUAUACUUAGAAAUGAAAACUUUAUUCCAUAUGUGCACAGUAUUAGUUUGACUGGCUUUUUAACAAGAAAAGCUUUGUUUUAACUCUUUUAAAUCCAUAAUUGUUUGCAUGUUCUGUUGCAUUAAUUUUCUAAUAAUUAUCACCAUACCUUAUAAAUCAUCAAUUUUCUUAAUUUUGUGUAUAAUAACAUGAACUGGAUUAGUUUUCAGCCAAAGAGACAUAAAGUUUAUCGGAUGCUGUCACCAUCUAAUGGGUAAAUCAGGGUUUUUAGGCUAGAUGCUGGAAGCAUCUGCUCAGGUUUGAGGAUUUAAAGAUUUGUGUCCUUACAUAAUGCUGUGAAAAUUGAAUUAGAUAUUAAGUGCUCAUAUACUUUCAGGGACUGGAUCUUUUAGGACAAGGAAUCAUAAAAACAUUAACUUGUCAGAAAUAUUAUUUUUAUUAUUAACUAUAGUUUUGAAACUAAACAUUCCAAAGUUUUGUAGUCACUUUUAAAUUAUAUCAAACUAUGUUUCCUUUAUUAGAAGAAGUAUGUGCUUUGUGUUACAUUAAAUCAAAACAAAAAUAUACCAAGUGAUAUGUCAGAAUGGUUUUUACCUUGAUGUUUAGAAUUUGCACCUUUAAUAUUUUUAAAGAUGUUAAUGUUAAUAACAGAUUUUCAAUUUUUUCAUUUUUCAAACAUUUCUAAUUAUUUUUAAAUGAAACUUUAGAGAAACACUAGCAAGUGGUAGACUUCCUUCAUCAGAAGUCAAGUGAGAAAGUACUCAGGUAUAUUAAAGUAUGAGUGAUUUUUGUGAUCUUCUAAGCCUUUUCAAAUGUGGAUAAAAACUGAGUAAAUUGUUCAGAUACACACUAAAAGUAUUAUCAUCAUUACUGUUCUAAUACAUGUAAAUUAUGAUAUUAAACUGCUGUCAAUUAUUGUAAGACACUGAGACAUAUGUUCUCUUAAAUGUAAAAUAUGUAAUGAAACAUGUUUUAUUGCAUGUUAAUUCUUAUUAUUAUUUUGUAUUAGAGAUUUCAUAUUAUUAUGAUCCUGGGUCUAGAUAAUGUUUGAGCAUGAGUAUUUGUGACAUUCAAAGUAUUUAAUUUUAUAAUACAUUAUUCAUGAAUUCCCAGAAGAACAGUUAAUCACAAUUUAGAAACCUUUAAUGAACUUCAGGCAGGAAAACAUUCUUUUAAUUUGUUUUUAAUCAAUUGAUGCAGAUAUGUUGUUUGUAAAUAUUAUGUUUAUGAAUGGAAAAAAAUUAGAACAAAUUUCUUUUUAUUUGGUAUGCUAAAGUUUAUAAGUAGUUUAUAGAAGUAUUCUAGUCAAGAAUGUGGAAGUUUAUUGUAACAAUGUUAGAUUCAUUGUAACAGAUCACAAUAUAGAAUAUUUUAGUUUGAAGAAAAUACAGUGAAAUUUCUUAAUAUACUAAAGUACUUGAAAAUAUUAUUGUAAUACACAGACAAGUUCUUGAAAAGGGGGUUGUAAUGCAAUAAAAUGGAAAUGCACUAAAUAGCUGAAUCAGACAUUCAGUUCCAACUACCAUAUGUGGCAGUGCUUUUUGACUAUACUGAAGAAUUAGUAAAAUGUUGCCAGUGUUUUUUGAAAAUUGUACAUAACUCCCUAAUUUGAUGUAUUGGAGUUUGAAGAUGUUCCUGAAAAUAAAAUUUAUUUUAUGACA
This 5660-nucleotide unclassified non-coding RNA is filed under the name Limulus polyphemus (Atlantic horseshoe crab). Its description in RNAcentral is "rho GTPase-activating protein 15-like, transcript variant X8". The record is from RNAcentral. Lineage: Eukaryota; Metazoa; Arthropoda; Merostomata; Xiphosura; Limulidae.